Molecule: ribosomal RNA, 253 nt
Filed under: uncultured bacterium
Lineage: Bacteria
Description: partial 16S ribosomal RNA
Rfam family: Bacterial small subunit ribosomal RNA
Source: RNAcentral
UACGAGGGGGGCAAGCGUUGUUCGGAAUUAUUGGGCGUAAAGGGUGCGUAGGCGGUUUUGUAAGUCUUGUGUGAAAUCUUCAGGCUCAACUUGAAGACUGCACGAGAAACUGCAGGGCUUGAGUGUGGGAGAGGUGAGUGGAAUUCCUGGUGUAGCGGUGAAAUGCGUAGAUAUCAGGAGGAACACCGGUGGUGUAGACGGCUCACUGGACCGUAACUGACGCUGAGACACGAAAGCGUGGGUAGCAAACAGG